RNAcentral lists this ribosomal RNA (122 nucleotides) under Carassius auratus (goldfish). Lineage: Eukaryota; Metazoa; Chordata; Actinopteri; Cypriniformes; Cyprinidae. The record is from RNAcentral.
GCUUACGGCCAUAACCAACUGGCUAUGCCCGAAUCUCGUCUGAUCUCGGAAGCUAAAGCAGGUUUGGGCCUGGUUAGUACUUGGAUGGGAAGACUGCCUGGGAAUACCAGGUGCUGUAAGCU